RNAcentral lists this transfer RNA (75 nucleotides) under Gammaproteobacteria bacterium. Its description in RNAcentral is "tRNA-OTHER". It matches the Rfam family "tRNA". From Rfam's summary of the family: Transfer RNA (tRNA) molecules are approximately 80 nucleotides in length. Their secondary structure includes four short double-helical elements and three loops (D, anti-codon, and T loops). Lineage: Bacteria; Pseudomonadati; Pseudomonadota; Gammaproteobacteria. The record is from RNAcentral.
UCCCCGGUAGCUCAGUUGGUAGAGCCAUCGGCUAUAUUAACCGAUCGGCCGCAGGUUCGAGUCCUACCCGGGCAG